This 492-nucleotide ribosomal RNA is filed under the name uncultured bacterium. Its description in RNAcentral is "partial 16S ribosomal RNA". It matches the Rfam family "Bacterial small subunit ribosomal RNA", at positions 29 to 507 of the family's 1533-position model. The record is from RNAcentral.
AGUGAACGCUGGCGGUAGGCCUAACACAUGCAAGUCGAACGGCAGCACAGUAAGAGCUUGCUCUUACGGGUGGCGAGUGGCGGACGGGUGAGGAAUACAUCGGAAUCUACUUUUUCGUGGGGGAUAAUGUAGGGAAACUUACGCUAAUACCGCAUACGACCUACGGGUGAAAGCAGGGGAUCUUCUGACCUUGCGCGAUUGAAUGAGCCGAUGUCGGAUUAGCUAGUUGGCGGGGUAAAGGCCCACCCAGGCGACGAUCCGUAGCUGGUCUGAGAGGAUGAUCAGCCACACUGGAACUGAGACACGGUCCAGACUCCUACGGGAGGCGGCAGUGGGGAAUAUUGGACAAUGGGCGCAAGCCUGAUCCAGCCAUACCGCGUGGGUGAAGAAGGCCUUCGGGUUGUAAAGCCCUUUUGUUGGGAAAGAAAAGCAGCAGGUUAAUACCCCGCUGUUCUGACGGUACCCAAAGAAUAAGCACCGGCUAACUUCGUG